CUUGCCCACCAGGCUUGGCCCACUGGCACUCCAGUGAAGGUUUUACUGCUUGCCUGUGCUGUCCUGUACUUCCCUGACCACCAGCUCAGCCCAGUAACUGCGGGCCAGUUCUGGCUCAGGGCAGCCCAGCAAACUUCCCCACAGCCUAGUGGGUUACAAUCGCAACCUCUUCAAGAAGGCUGGAAUCUCAUAUCUGAGAUCUUUGGGGAUAGGUAAUUGGUUGCAGUGUUUCUCGGAAAGAAGUAGAUGGGCAGGCUACUAAAAUAUUUCUUGAUCUAUGUAACAGAAAAAUCUGUAAGUCUGGCCAAAAACCUGACUUGAGUAGCCAGUUUCCAGACCUAAGUCAGGGCACAGACCCAGAGCCUCUUGACCGAAAGGGACCCUGGAGCCCCUUGAGGAAGGCCUCUGCUGCAUUUUUACAAGUAGGCGCUGUGAAUCUUCUUCUAAUCCUCAUCCAAAGGACAUCAGGCCAGUUACGGGAGGGAUUGUGCAAGACUCAAACAUUUUGAAGAUUACUGGACACCGGCUGUGAAUUGACACUAAUUCCUGGGCAUCCAAAAUGUGGCUCUGAUCUACCAGUCAAAGUGGGGGCUAUAGUGAUCAAGUAACAGAUAGAGCCUUAGCUGAAGUUUAACUCACACUGGGCCUAAUUCAUCCACAGACCCAGCUUGUGGGUUAUUUCCCCAGAUCUUGAAUGUAUAACUGUAAUACACUUACUUGGAAACUGGAAGUAUCCCCCACAUUGACUCUUAGACCCACAGGAUGAGAGUCAUUAUGGUAAGGCUAAAUAGAAACACCUGGAACUGCCCCUUCAUACCAAGCUAAUAAAUCAGAAGCAGUAUUGUAUCUCUGGGGAAAUUCCAGAGAUUUAUGCCAAUAUCCAUCAUUGAAAGAAGUCAGAGUGGUGAUACCUAUCAUGUUCCCUUUUAACUCACCUGUUUGGCCUGUGCAGACAUUGGACGAUUAUUGGAGAAUAACUGUGGUUUGUCAUAAACUGAAUCAGGCAGUGAUUCCAAAUGCAGCUGUCGUCUCUGUUGAACCUUUACUGGAGCAAAUCAGUGCAAUUCCCAGCCUUUGAGAGCUCAUGGAUGCUGUGCCCUCCGUGUCACCACGCCAUUUUUCAGCUAGUGCUAAUUCAGUGACCACUGCUGCACGCCAAGGCUGAGAGAGAGAGACAGAGAGAGGAGAAGCUGAGCAAAGGCAAGGCCUUCCCAUGUUUCUACACGCAUCCCUCUCCUUGGCCGCCCCAACGAGGUGGCUCCCACCAGACAGCUGCCCUGCGGUCUGCUGCUUCCCCGCCCCAGGAGAAGGUCAGGACCUUGCCUGACCAUCAUGAGAAUGACAUCUUAUUCCACCUGUAUUUGACAGAGGCCUGUGGGCCUUUUCCCUCAGGUACGUGGAGAAUACAAUCCUUCCUGUCAGUCUUUGCAAUACAGCACGAGCUGCCCACCUGAGGGUCGACAGGGUAUUUUGUGGCAUUUGUGCAUAGAGUGGGCGUUAUCCGUAUCCUUCUAGAAACAAUCAAUGGUUGAGUAGGAUUACCUCAUGCUCUUCCUUGCCUAUUAGUUAGCUCUCACUAUGGAAGGUGCUUGCUCCUCACUUCUGCCAAGCUCUGCCCUCCAUAAACCGACUCAUACCUAGUGCACGUGGAUUCCUCCUCCUUCUCAACUUAGCAUUGGUCUGCUCCAUGCUCUUGAGCUUUCGCUUUUCCAUAGUCUUUGCUGAGCUCUGAUUAUUCCUUAUAAGUCCUGUUCCCUCAACUAGGUUGUAAGUCCUGCAAGGCCCCGGGUGAUGUCUCACUCUCCCUUCGGCUCCCCCAGCCUCCGUGGCCUCUAGUAUGGUGCCUGGGAGAGACUUGAG
Molecule: long non-coding RNA, 1860 nt
Organism: Equus caballus (horse)
Lineage: Eukaryota; Metazoa; Chordata; Mammalia; Perissodactyla; Equidae
Source: Ensembl